RNAcentral lists this ribosomal RNA (2169 nucleotides) under Triticum aestivum (bread wheat). Its description in RNAcentral is "partial small subunit ribosomal RNA". Lineage: Eukaryota; Viridiplantae; Streptophyta; Magnoliopsida; Poales; Poaceae. The record is from RNAcentral.
AUGGACGAUCGUACUCUUGGCAAAGGCAGGAAGUGCGUCCCCUCGCCGUCGGCGGCGGCGGUGGCCAGGCGCGCCGUGCUUCUCCUGGCCGCCGUCGUGUUCGUGGGGUGGCUCAUGAUGUGGGCCAUGCUGCCGACCAGAACUUACAGCUCGACAUGGGCGCCGAAGCUUGCGGCGCUCACCGGCUUCGGGAAACAAGGGAUUAGGAUGACGGUGUACGCCUUCCCGGUGCUGUUCGUGUACGUUGUUGCGUGCGUUUACCUGCAUUUGCAGCAGCAGAAGGGGGGUGACCCUGACACCCAGCGCCGGACCAGUACGAGAAUAGCAGCAGCCUGGAGGAGACCCGUGCUGGUGAGAGGCCCGCUGGGGAUCGUGACGGGCAUAGAACUGGCCAUCCUUCUCAUGUUCAUGGCGCUCCUCGUCUGGUUCUACUACGCGUACAUCACCGUCGAGUUCUCCAAGCUACGCGUCAAGCCAGGCGAGAAACUGUGGCAGGCGGAGCUGGAGAAAGCGGCGAAGCGGCUCGGCAGUGUCGGGAGUUUGUGCUGCGCGCUGCUGUUCCUGCCCGUGGCACGCGGCUCGUCGCUCCUGCCGCUCGUCGGCCUCACGUCGGAGGCCGGCAUCAAGUACCAUGUCUGGCUGGGGAACACGGCCAUGGCCAUCUUCACCGCUCAUGGGCUCUGCUACGUCUUUUUCUGGGCAUCCACUGAUCAGAUCCACCUGAUGACGAAAUGGGCGAGGACGAGGGCCUCCAACGUCGCCGGGGAGCUGGCCUUGCUCUGCGGCCUCGCGAUGUGGGCGACGGCGCUGCCGCGCAUCCGCCGCCGGAUGUUCGAGCUCUUCUUCUACGCGCACCACCUCUACAUCCCCUUCAUCGUCUUCUCCGCGCUCCACAUGGGCGUAAUGGUGUUCUGCUACGUCCUGCCCGGCGUCUUCCUCUUCGCCGUCGACCGGUGCCUCCGCUUCCUGCAGUCGCGCGCCCGUGUCCGCCUCGUCUCUUCCCGCUUCCUGCCGUCCGGGGCCGUCGAGCUCAACUUCGCCAAAAGCCCCUGUUUGAGGCACAAUCCCACGAGCACGCUCUUCGUCAACGUCCCAUGCGUCUCGCGGCUCCAGUGGCACCCUUUCUCGGUGACGUCGAGCAGCAGCCUCGAGCCGGACACGCUCAGCGUCGUCAUCAAGAACAGAGGCGGGUGGACGCAGAAGCUGUACGAGACGGUCUCGUCUCUGCCCCCGUCCGGUGGCCACCUCGGCGUCUCGGUCGAGGGGCCGUACAGCCCGGCUGCCGGGGUCACGCCCUUCUUGGGCCACGACUCGCUGGUAAUGAUCAGCGGCGGCAUCGGCAUCACGCCGUUCAUCUCCAUCAUCCGCGAGCUGGUUUACCAGAGCGCCAUGGCAGAAACGGCGUCCAUGCCGAGGCUCCUCCUCGUCUGCGUCUUCAGGACGUCGGCCGAGCUCGACAUGCUGGACCUCCUCGUCCCGGCCUCCGGCGGCCUCAACGGCGCCCCCAGCCUCGACCUGCGCAUCGAGGCCUUCGUGACGAGCGAGAGCGAGCCCCGCACCGGCAACGACCCGCACAAGCGGCCUUGUCAACCGGUCUGGUUCAAGCCGUGGCCGUCGGACGCGCCCGUCUCCCCGGCGCUGGGAACCAACGGCUGGCUCUGGCUCGGCGCCGUCGUAUCCUCGUCGUUCGCCGCGUUCCUCCUGCUCGUCGCCGUGCUGCAGCGGUUCUACAUCUACCCGGUUGACCGAGACAGCAACCACGUGUACCCGUGGGCGGCCAGAACGAUGCUGAACCUGCUGUUCCUCGGCGUCAGCGUCGCCGCCGUCACCGGUGCGGCGUUCCUGUGGAGUAAGCGGGGGAGCGCCAGGGAGGCCAAGAAGAUAAAGAGCGUGGACGGGCCGAUGUCGCCGGUGUCGUUGCUCCACUGGGCUGGUGGAGGCGGCGUGGAGAGGGAGCUGGAGAGCAUGCCUGCGCAGCCUCUUGCGCAGGCAACCAAUGUGCACUUCGGUCACCGUCCCGAUCUCAAGAAGAUGCUGCUGGGGGUUCACGACGAAAACGUUGGGGUGAUGGCCAGCGGUCCGUCGGGGAUGCUUGAGGAGGUCGCGACUAUCUGCUCGUCUGGGCUGGCGAGCAACCUGCAUUUCCAGUCUAUAAGCUUCACCUGGUGA